GAUUUCUGACUUGGCGCACCUAGCCCGCCACGGUUACGUGUGUGAGUGCCGGGAUGCGCCUGUCACUUUUCUGGUAAACUAUUGUGCUCUUCAUUGAGUGUGAUAGGUAGCCAGAUAUUUUACUUUGAAAAAAUUAGAGUGUUUCAAGCAGGCUUUUGCUAUGAAUACAUUAGCAUGGAAUAAUAAUUUAGGACUUCGGUUCUAUUUUGUUGGUUUCUAGAAUUGAAGUAAUGAUUGAUAGGGAUAGUUGGGGGUGCUAGUAUUCAGUGGCCAGAGGUGAAAUUCUCGGAUUCACUGAAGACUAACUUAUGCGAAAGCAUU
This 321-nucleotide ribosomal RNA is filed under the name uncultured Allapsidae. RNAcentral describes it as "SSU rRNA". It matches the Rfam family "Eukaryotic small subunit ribosomal RNA", at positions 634 to 955 of the family's 1831-position model. Lineage: Eukaryota; Cercozoa; Glissomonadida; Viridiraptoridae. The record is from RNAcentral.